UACAGAGGUGGCAAGCGUUGUUCGGAAUUACUGGGCGUAAAGGGCGCGUAGGCGGCCAUCUAAGUCAGACGUGAAAUCCCCCGGCUUAACCUGGGAACUGCGUCUGAUACUGGACGGCUGGAGUUUGGGAGAGGGAUGUAGAAUUCCAGGUGUAGCGGUGAAAUGCGUAGAUAUCUGGAGGAACACCGGUGGCGAAGGCGGCAUCCUGGACCGGUAUUGACGCUGAGGCGCGAAAGCCAGGGGAGCAAACGGG
Molecule: ribosomal RNA, 253 nt
Filed under: uncultured bacterium
Lineage: Bacteria
Description: partial 16S ribosomal RNA
Rfam family: Bacterial small subunit ribosomal RNA
Source: RNAcentral